GUGAUGUCUAUGAAUAGGUUUUCUAAAAAGAAGCUGGCAGCUUUCCAGCUCUCUUCUCAAGGACCAGUGUUUGUAAUUCCAGUGGCUAACACAUAAUUACAGUCUCAAGCUUGCUUUGAGAAGAGUGCUGGGCUUUCUUUGUGUCUGGUCUUCUCAACAGCUGUGUCAUCAGGCUGGCCUGCCUACUCACCGUUUCAAACACUUCAAGAAAAUAAAAUGGAUGUCUAGUAAAAGAAAAGAAACAUGUUUCCAUGCCCUUGGAAGGAGGAGGACUGGUCUCCAUUUUGCUCUUCAAGAAGAAAAUACUUAUGAGGCCAACACAGCUGCGGGACCCACUCACGCCAGUUCUGUUGUGAGUGUCCCUCUAGCUGGUGCAAGCUUAGUGCACAUGAAGUAUGUGUCCUGGGAAGACGCUGGGACACUUACUCUUUAAUGAGUGUCUUCACCAACACUGACCAGGUGCUGAUGGGAGAUGGUUUGCCUUCAAUACAAAUAAAAAAGGAAGAAUCUCUUUCUGCCCCUCGUGCUAAAGAGAUUGCUCUGCACAAACGAUCCCUGUUGUUUUCUAAGGAGAGACAGAAAGGAUGUGGAUUCUGACAGGAGAGAAAGUGAGCAAGAUCAUUUUAGAGCAUGGAACAUGAAUCCAGACUGUUAACACAAGGCACAGAGAAUCGACUUGAUGAAGCAUUUCUGGCAUGAGCGAGGUUCCGCAUCCAUUACCAACAGGGUUUCAUCAUCGAAAAUGUACGGUGUCGUUUCUAAUGGGAAACAUUUCCUGGCACCCGUGUGUACUCAGCUUCGGGCUCUCAUCAGAUAAAAAUGCUGUGACAAUCACAGCCUAAUUUGUCUUGAGUGUUUUGAGAGACUUAAUGAUAGUACUGCUUUUGAUCUUUGGGUGUAAAUGUAGUUUUUUUAAAAAAAUCAUCUGGGAGUUGUUUCCUCUAUGUUUUCAGUACCACCUAAAUACAUUUUUCGGGGAU
Molecule: long non-coding RNA, 980 nt
Filed under: Mus caroli (Ryukyu mouse)
Lineage: Eukaryota; Metazoa; Chordata; Mammalia; Rodentia; Muridae
Description: lncRNA (MGP_CAROLIEiJ_G0006100.1)
Source: RNAcentral